RNAcentral lists this ribosomal RNA (253 nucleotides) under uncultured bacterium. RNAcentral's name for it is "partial 16S ribosomal RNA". It matches the Rfam family "Bacterial small subunit ribosomal RNA", at positions 524 to 776 of the family's 1533-position model. The record is from RNAcentral.
UACGGAGGGUGCAAGCGUUAUCCGGAUUCACUGGGCUUAAAGGGUGCGUAGGUGGGUAGGUAAGUCAGUGGUGAAAUCUCCGGGCUUAACCCGGAAACUGCCGUUGAUACUAUUUGUCUUGAAUAUAGUGGAGGUGAGCGGAAUAUGUCAUGUAGCGGUGAAAUGCUUAGAUAUGACAUAGAACAUCGAUUGCGAAGGCAGCUCGCUACACUAUUAUUGACACUGAGGCACGAAAGCGUGGGGAUCAAACAGG